CACACACACACACACGAGUGAUAAAAAAGGGGACAAAAUGGAGCCUAAUGUAGCUACUGAUUCCUCUCACUGAGUCACCUACCAUGUGAUUGCUGUCUGGAAGGAAACUACAAGAUCAAAAUGAACCAGAAGGUGGAGCCAGUGAAACUACCUAAAAGAAGAGUUCCAGUUGCAGUGAUGAAGCUGUUGAAAGAAGAGCGGAGCAGCUUUCAGCGCAGAAUGAUUAUUACACCUGUGGAGAAAAGCACCGACUGGAUAAGCAGCCUUGUGAUCGUGAAGAAACCAAAUGUCCUCCUGAUUUUUGACCCUUGCCUGUUUCUGGACUCUGUACC
This 332-nucleotide long non-coding RNA is filed under the name Salmo salar (Atlantic salmon). RNAcentral describes it as "lncRNA (ENSSSAG00000085692.1, ENSSSAG00020051967.1)". The record is from RNAcentral. Lineage: Eukaryota; Metazoa; Chordata; Actinopteri; Salmoniformes; Salmonidae.